UCCGCCGCGACCGGCGCACGGGUGAGUAACGCGUAUGCAACCUGCCCGUUUCAGCGGGAUAACCCGGAGAAAUCCGGCCUAAUACCGCAUGUGGCCGAGGGGAGGCAUCUUCUUUCGGCCAAAGGAGGCGACUCCGGAGACGGAUGGGCAUGCGUGACAUUAGCUAGUUGGCGGGGUAACGGCCCACCUAACCGACGAUGCGUAGGGGUUCUGAGAGGAAGGUCCCCCACACUGGUACUGAGACACGGACCAGACUCCUACGGAAGGCAGCAG
RNAcentral lists this ribosomal RNA (273 nucleotides) under uncultured bacterium. Its description in RNAcentral is "partial 16S ribosomal RNA". It matches the Rfam family "Bacterial small subunit ribosomal RNA", at positions 85 to 354 of the family's 1533-position model. The record is from RNAcentral.